RNAcentral lists this transfer RNA (69 nucleotides) under Stenocercus doellojuradoi. RNAcentral's name for it is "tRNA-Ala". The record is from RNAcentral. Lineage: Eukaryota; Metazoa; Chordata; Lepidosauria; Squamata; Tropiduridae.
CUGGNGAGGCUUUAGCUUAAUUAAAGUGCCUGGGUUGCAUUCAGGAGAUGUGUUUAGAAUUUCACAGGU